GGUGAUUUAGCUUAGUGGUAGAGCGCUUGCCUAGCAAGCGCAAGGCCCUGGGUUCGGUUCCCAGCUCCG
This 69-nucleotide transfer RNA is filed under the name Rattus norvegicus (Norway rat). It matches the Rfam family "tRNA". Rfam says of the family: Transfer RNA (tRNA) molecules are approximately 80 nucleotides in length. Their secondary structure includes four short double-helical elements and three loops (D, anti-codon, and T loops). The record is from Rfam by way of RNAcentral. Lineage: Eukaryota; Metazoa; Chordata; Mammalia; Rodentia; Muridae.